This 887-nucleotide long non-coding RNA is filed under the name Mytilus galloprovincialis (Mediterranean mussel). Lineage: Eukaryota; Metazoa; Mollusca; Bivalvia; Mytilida; Mytilidae. The record is from RNAcentral.
AUAAUACAGAAAAAGAAACAGAGGAAAAGCAAUAUGUCACCCGACAUUGUCGAUCGGGUGACAUAAUUAUAUUUUAAUCAAAUCAUGGAAUAUGUCAAAUAAAGGAUGAAAGACUAACAAGCAAGGACUCUUAUAAUUUAUGGACAGAGUUCAUGCUAAAACAGCUUUGUGGCUGUAGAUUUUUUUUUAUAUAACAUGAAAUAAGGUGUGUUUAUUUAUUGUGGUAUUUAUUGUUUUUCAUUUAUAAACAAAAUAUUCUAGAUUUUCAUAGAAAAAGAUAUUUAUGUGUUAUUCUCAUUAUCCUCAAAAUAUGGUAGAUGUAUUUAAGUUAAAUGGUAACCUUGUAAACAAGUUGUUUUUAUCAAAAUUGGAACAAAAUGUCUCAGGAAAAAAUAUAUUAGAAUUUGUAAACAAACAUGAAGUAUAACUCCAUGUGUUGAACCAAUGCUGUUGUGUUUACUUCAAUAAAGUCUACUAAAGUGUUUGCCUUGGUUUGCAGGGAUAUCAACUUGUGAAAAAUUUGAUUAAGGCCAUCAAAUUCUAGUCAAAUUUCAGUUGUAUAAUGUUAAGUUUAUGGGUAUAAAUUUCUUUUAUUUGUAGAAUUUAUUUACAAAUUCAUGAUGCAUUAUUAAAGUAUUCACAUUUCUAUGAAGAUUUUAAGUUAUGAUUAUUGAAUAUAUAGUAGGGAAUAUAAGGCAUUUUUUAAUUAAUGGUAAUUUGUUAUUGUAUGUGUGAAUUUUUAAUGUCGUUAUAUUUUUCACUGAAUCAUGUAUUUGACUAAAAACUAAAUAAAAGAGUUAUAAAGUGUUCAUUAUAUUUUUGAAAUUAGGGGGAAUAGUUUUUACCAGCGCAGCAAAAGGCAAAUAAACUCAUCAUAGAUACCAGGA